Molecule: long non-coding RNA, 1585 nt
Organism: Pezoporus flaviventris
Lineage: Eukaryota; Metazoa; Chordata; Aves; Psittaciformes; Psittacidae
Exons: 2
Source: RefSeq, a predicted model, not a curated record
UAUAGCAGUAUUGAAUGCAGCCCCCUGCCUCUGCCCUGCUCCAACAGCCACCUUCCAUCUGUGUCGGGAAGCAGUAGGUGCAGUCAGACCUGCAGUUCUCACCUGCAGUGCAGAAGACAGGAUUGCUUUCUCAGCAUUUCAUCAGCACUUCCAUUCAUCAUCAUCUGUUCCAUAAAUUCACUGGUUUUUUAUGCUGUCCUUUUCUGCAGCAAUGCUGGACACUCCUUUAGCACACCAAACUGGACAAGUCAGGGUUACUGGGAAGCUCUCUAGCCAGCCUGCAGUCUUGUUCUGCUGUUGUAGACCUGCCUGCAUCCCACUGCGUGCUGUCCUGCUUCACCCACACCAUGGGUGGUGAAGCCCCAUCACUGCUCUGCUGGAGGCUGCAGCAGACUCCUGCUCUGUGCCCUUCCCACCCAUUGCAGGCACUGAGCAGUGGAAGCUUCUUGGAGUCAUACUUGGGUGUUAAGUCACUCCAGUCUCAGGAGUGUUCUAAGGCAACUGUAGGAGCUUAAACCCUUACAAGUCUCUGCUAAGAGCAGGACUAUCCUGCUUCUGUAAGGCUGAGACCUAGAAAGAAUAGCCUGAGAAGCUAGAUCCAGGCACUUAAAAAUCCAGGAGCUCUGUUCACUGGGAUCAGGGAUUUUUUGUGUUACAGAUGUGGGUAAUACAGGGAGUGUACUCUUCUGGGUUUGUUUUGGUUUGUUUCUCCCCCUCCUAGUCUCCAAUUGUUUUGCAUUAGUCACUGGUGCUGAUUAAAGCCCAUCCCUGAUGAAAUCUAUUAAGGUGACUCCAUUACCACUGUGUCAAGGAACAGGAAGGUAUAAGCUGAUAGACAGAUGCAAUCACUGAGUCUGACCCUACCUGCACAAUAGUGUCUGUAUGCCAGUUACCCCAAAGGAGGUGGUGGUUAGUGGAAAGGCGUGUGCAGGAGCCAAGAAAAAUGAACGAAAGGUUAAGCUUGGAAGGGUAGAGAAGGGAAGAGGUGGGUGCAAAGAGGAACUGAAGAGCUGGCAAAGGGGAUUCAGCUUCUUGUAAACAUACAGCUUCAUGAAAACACGACUUGGAUCUGUGUAGCUGAAGGUUUUUAGAGGCUGGAAAAACAAAAUCUCUUUUAUAAUUUCUCUAGUCCUGACUAAUGACAUGUGGAUGCAGAAUUUUUGUCUGUAUUUGAUCUCCUUGCAUUCCUUGGAAGAAGUGUGCAGAUGAUGCAGCUCCCAGACAUACACUUUGCAGAACAUGAAACCAAGGCAUUUCCAAAUUGCUGUGUUGGAAGAAUUAGAAAAAACAGGAUGAGGGGAGAUGCAGAAAGAAAGAGCCCCUGUGAACCAGAAAACUGAGGUGAAAAGUGGCUGAUUUGCAGGUCUGAAGAGUCAUGGUCAGGUUUCCAUCAGGGCAGUCUGCCUGAGCCCCUGUCAGCGUCUGCCUAUGGAAAAACUUCAUCCAGAUAGAAUGUAAGAGACAUCCCUGAACAACCUGUCACUUAGAGCAUUGCCCCGCUACAGGAAAGGUUCCUGCUCUACCACAGGUGCAGAUGGACGUAUGAGCAUGAUUUAAUCAAAUAUACACUCUUCUGCUAUAUGCA